GGAUGUAAGGGCCAUCUGGCUGUGACAUCCGUCACCCCACUGAUCGCCAGGGUUGAUUAGCUGAUCUGGCUGGCUGGGUGGGUGUCCCCUUCCUCCCUCACUGCUCCAGGUGCAUUCCUCCUGGACCGAAGUUCACCCUUGGGAUGCUGAGCACUGGGGAUGAGCUGUCCUACC
RNAcentral lists this small nuclear RNA (174 nucleotides) under Ailuropoda melanoleuca (giant panda). Its description in RNAcentral is "7SK RNA". It matches the Rfam family "7SK RNA", at positions 1 to 158 of the family's 331-position model. From Rfam's summary of the family: 7SK was discovered as an abundant small nuclear RNA in the mid-70s but a possible function has only recently been suggested. Two independent studies have found that 7SK RNA binds the CDK9/cyclin T complex (known as elongation factor P-TEFb). P-TEFb activates transcription by phosphorylating the C-terminal domain of RNA polymerase II. The record is from Rfam by way of RNAcentral. Lineage: Eukaryota; Metazoa; Chordata; Mammalia; Carnivora; Ursidae.